AUUGAACGCUGGCGGCGUGCUUAACACAUGCAAGUCGAGCGGAGCGGCGAACUGGUGAGUAACGGGUGAGUAACUGCCCCCCUCUCUGGGAUAACAGUUGGAAACGGCUGCUAAUACCGGAUAGUGGGGGAUGACUCGCGUCCUAUCAGCUUGUUGGUGGGGUAGUGGCCUACCAAGGCGACGACGGGUAGCCGGCCUGAGAGGGCGACCGGCCACAAUGGUCUGAGAGACGGACCAAGGGGGAACGGUGGGCAGGGGGGGGGAGUAUUGCGCAAUGGGGGAAACCGUGAUGAAGCGGCGCCGCGGGUGUGAUGAAGGCCUUGGGGUUAGAAACGGGUUGUGGCCAUGACGCGGUAGUGGCAGAAGAAGCACCGGCUAACUACGUGCCAGCAGCCGCGGUAAUAC
Molecule: ribosomal RNA, 405 nt
Filed under: uncultured bacterium
Lineage: Bacteria
Description: partial 16S ribosomal RNA
Rfam family: Bacterial small subunit ribosomal RNA
Source: RNAcentral